Molecule: long non-coding RNA, 514 nt
Organism: Perca fluviatilis (European perch)
Lineage: Eukaryota; Metazoa; Chordata; Actinopteri; Perciformes; Percidae
Exons: 5
Source: RefSeq, a predicted model, not a curated record
AGCCACACAUCCAUCGAACAUCCAACAGACACACAUCAGACACAAUAAGCUUCUUUCACCACUAUAUUUGUGCUGUUUAAUCACUGAUUGACUCUUUACCCACCAUCCUGAUAAUAUAAAAGUGGAAACAUGUGCAAACUCACUCUAACUGCAGGUCUCUGUUUGAUCAUCGCCAGCUUGGCUGCAGUGCCACCAAACACCUGUAAUGGAAGGAUCAGUGGGCUAUACCCCAACCCUGCUGACCCACAUUCUUUUUACAAUUGUGGUAAUGGAAUAGCCUACCUCCAAAACUGCCCAUCAAAUCUGGUCUUUGACCCAACAUGCAGCUGCUGUAACUAUCCCACAACCAAUCCACCAAAAAUCAAUAAAUUCUGUAAUGGAAAGAGCAAUGGGCAAUACACUAACAAUGCUGACCCAUCUUCUUUUUACAAUUGUUGGGAUGGAAGAACCUACCUCCAAACCUGCCCAUCAAAUCUGGUCUUUAACCAAAAAUGCAGCUGCUGUAGCUAUCCCC